UACAGGGGGUGCAAACGUUGCUCGGAAUUAUUGGGCGUAAAGCGCGCGUAGGCGGCUACUUAAGUCGGAUGUGAAAGCCCUUGGCUCAACUGAGGAAGUGCACCCGAAACUGAGUGGCUAGAGUACGAAAGAGGGUCGCGGAAUUCCCGGUGUAGAGGUGAAAUUCGUAGAUAUCGAGAGGAACAUCGGUGGCGAAGGCGGCUUUCUGGACGGUGACUGACGCUGAGACGCGAAAGCGUGGGGAGCAAACAGG
Molecule: ribosomal RNA, 253 nt
Filed under: uncultured bacterium
Lineage: Bacteria
Description: partial 16S ribosomal RNA
Rfam family: Bacterial small subunit ribosomal RNA
Source: RNAcentral